RNAcentral lists this ribosomal RNA (397 nucleotides) under uncultured bacterium. RNAcentral's name for it is "partial 16S ribosomal RNA". It matches the Rfam family "Bacterial small subunit ribosomal RNA", at positions 523 to 918 of the family's 1533-position model. The record is from RNAcentral.
AUACGUAGGGGGCGAGCGUUGUCCGGAAUGAUUGGGCGUAAAGGGCGCGUAGGCGGCCCGGUAAGUCUGGAGUGAAAGUCCUGUUUUUAAGAUGGGAAUUGCUUUGGAUACUGUCGGGCUUGAGUGCAGGAGGGGGAAGUGGAAUUCCCGGUGUAGCGGUGAAAUGCGUAGAGAUCGGGAGGAACACCAGUGGCGAAGGCGGGUAACUGGACUGCAACUGACGCUGAGGCGCGAAAGUGUGGGGAGCAAACAGGAUUAGAUACCCUGGUAGUCCACACUGUAAACGAUGAAUGCUAGGUGUAAGAGGUAUCGACCCCUUUUGUGCCGGAGUCAACACAAUAAGCAUUCCGCCUGGGGAGUACGGCCGCAAGGUUGAAACUCAAAGGAAUUGACGGGG